AAGACCUUACGCUUUUGGAGCGGCCGAUGUCUGAUUAGCUUGUUGGUGAGGUAAAGGCUUACCAAGGCUUCGAUCAGUAGCUGGUCUGAGAGGACGACCAGCCACACUGGGACUGAGACACGGCCCAGACUCCUACGGGAGGCAGCAGUGGGGAAUUUUGGACAAUGGGGGAAACCCUGAUCCAGCCAUGCCGCGUGAGUGAAGAAGGCCUUCGGGUUGUAAAGCUCUUUCAGCCGGAACGAAACGGUUACGAUUAAUACCUGUAACUACUGACGGUACCGGAAGAAGAAGCACCGGCUAACUACGUGCCAGCAGCCGCGGUAAUACGUAGGGUGCGAGCGUUAAUCGGAAUUACUGGGCGUAAAGCGUGCGCAGGUGGUUUUGUAAGUCAGAUGUGAAAUCCCCGGGCUUAACCUGGGAACU
Molecule: ribosomal RNA, 423 nt
Filed under: uncultured bacterium
Lineage: Bacteria
Description: bacterial SSU rRNA
Rfam family: Bacterial small subunit ribosomal RNA
Source: RNAcentral